GACGAACGCUGGCGGCGUGCUUAACACAUGCAAGUCGAACGGAAAGGCCCUGCUUUUGUGGGGUGCUCGAGUUGCGAACGGGUGAGUAACACGUGAGUUACCUGCCCUUGACUUUGGGAUAACUUCAUAAAACUUGAUCUAAUACCGGAUAGGAGCUCCUGCUGCAUGGUGGGCGUUGGAAAGUUUCGGCGGUUGGUGAUGGACUCGCGGCUUAUCAGCUUGUUGGUGGGGUAGUGGCUUACCAAGGCUUUGACCGGUAGCCGGCCUGAGAGGGUGACCGGCCACAUUGGGACUGAGAUACGGCCCAGACUCCUACGGGAGGCAGCAGUGGGGAAUAGUGCACAAUGGGAGGAAGCAUGAUGCAGUAACGCCGCGUGCGGGAUGACGGCAUUCGGGUUGUAAACCGAUUUCGCCUGUGACGAAGCGUGAGUGACGGUAAUGGGUAAAGAAGCACCGGCUAACUACGUG
RNAcentral lists this ribosomal RNA (468 nucleotides) under uncultured bacterium. RNAcentral's name for it is "partial 16S ribosomal RNA". It matches the Rfam family "Bacterial small subunit ribosomal RNA", at positions 28 to 507 of the family's 1533-position model. The record is from RNAcentral.